GGUCUGAGGCCUUCCUGCCGUUCCGCCUUUUCAAAAGCCCCGUGGAUCGCUCCGCGGGGCUUUUCUUGUUUCAAG
Molecule: small RNA, 75 nt
Filed under: Microvirga lotononidis
Lineage: Bacteria; Pseudomonadati; Pseudomonadota; Alphaproteobacteria; Hyphomicrobiales; Methylobacteriaceae
Description: suhB
Source: RNAcentral